GUGCUCGCUUUGGCAGUACAUAUACUAAAACUGGAAAGAUACAGAGAAGAGUAGCAUGGCCCCUGCGCAAGGAUAUCACGCAAAUUCAUGAAGCGUUCCAUAUUUUU
RNAcentral lists this small nuclear RNA (107 nucleotides) under Aotus nancymaae (Ma's night monkey). The record is from RNAcentral. Lineage: Eukaryota; Metazoa; Chordata; Mammalia; Primates; Aotidae.